RNA transcript from Homarus americanus (American lobster), 2431 nucleotides. RefSeq lists it as uncharacterized. NCBI's taxonomy places the organism in Eukaryota, Metazoa, Arthropoda, Malacostraca, Decapoda, Nephropidae. The transcript is spliced from 11 exons. The record is from RefSeq and is a predicted model, not a curated record.
UAUAGGACGCAUCUCUCUCCAAGUCGACACUGGUCCGAUCCUAGAAAUGUGAUCACGACAGCUUUCUCACUAUAUGAAUUAGUUCUUUAACUCGUGAACUAUAAUGAACAGUUAAGUAAUAGUCUUCUCUCUUGUUAACUCAGCUCCAAACUUUGAUAUGCACAAACCAGGACUUUGUAUAACGUCAAAACUUCACUGAAGUUUUGCACACAAGAAGUUACAUCCAUCAGAAGGAGGAGUGAGGUCUUGGCAUGAUACAUAUGUGAGACAAGAUGACCCCACGAACCUUCACCUCGCUGAUUAACCUCCUGACCUCCCUCGUUCUCGUCGUGACGUCAUCAGUGGCCCCCGUGACAGACACAGGUCAAGGGACGACCCCGAGUGUGGGCACUGAACGACCACACCAGCCACCAGACGACCAAGUUGUUCAUCGUGACGGCCCCAGGGUGGACAUGGCACACUCGGGGAACGUGUCCUCGGUGCAGGGAAGGACAGCCUCACUCCGCUGUCGUGUACUGCAACGGGCUAACAAAACGGUGUCGUGGAUUAGACACAGGGAUCUACACCUGCUGACUGUCGACCAAUACACUUACACCACAGACCAGAGAUUCCAGGCCAUGUUCGAGCCAUCAACAGAGGACUGGGUACUGUUGGUCAAGUCGGUGCAACUGAGGGAUCAAGGUAUCUAUGAGUGUCAGAUUGGCACCACCCCACCUAAAAGUCAUUUUGUGACACUGCAUAUUAUAGAACCUCGGACAGAGAUCCUAGGUGGCGGGGAUGUCCACGUCAACACAGGGUCAACAAUCAACCUCACCUGCUUAGUGUUGUAUCACGCCCGCUCCCCUCACACCCUCACCUGGCUCCAUCAAGGCAAGGAGAUCCACUAUGACUCAGGCAGGGGAGGUGUGAGUGUACUGACGGAGGCGGGAGAGGUGACGCGGUCUGCCCUCCUCAUACAGAGAGCCACCAGACAAGACGCGGGCAAUUAUACCUGUCGACCACGAGGCGCUGAACCUGCCACCACCACUGUACACGUCCUCCAUGGUGAACAUCGGGCAGCCAUGCAGGGAGCAGUAGGCAGAGGCGGCUUCCCUGCCAGCACCUGUCUGGUAGCGUGGUUGGCCCUGUGGUGUGUGUGGUGGGCGGGGAUGCCUUUUAACUACCUAAUAGGCUGCCUGGUUGCAUGGGCGGCGUUGUGGUGGGCGGACGUACCCUCCAACCACCCACCAGGUUGUCCAGUAACAUGGUCGACCUUAUCCCUCCACCACGUAUGGUCUUGUAUGGUAGUGUGGGCGGUGUUGUGGUGUGUGUGGUGGGUGGGUCUGCCCCUGCACCACCUGGCACCACCUAGACACAACCUAGUGGGGAGGGAACCACCUCUCCACCACCUGUAACUCCUCAUCUCCACCAUUAAGAUCGCCGGUACCUCUCACUCACAGGAACCAAUUAGAAUUAAGUUAAGGCUAAAUCUGGAUUAUAUAUCGUUCAUUAAGAAGUGGAACAAUUCACAACCAGUUAAUAAAAUCAUCAGUUAACUACCACAUAAAAAAAUAACUACUGUUUGUUCCCCAGUCAGCCAGUCUACCAGUUAUCAAGUCUACCGGUUACAUCCGUGUUGAAAAUUGAAGUUAAAUUUGAAGUUAAAAUCGAAGUUAAAAUGUGUAUUAACUUCGAGAUUAAAAUAUUAUACGAAGCUAAAUGUCAAGAAGCGGCAAUGGUAAGUUAAUGUACAGUUGAAGUUGUUAAUACCAAUUACCACCCAUUCUACCAGUUACACCAGUCUGACAGUUAGAGCCCUUUCCAUCAGAUGUUAAAACAGUCUAUGACCAGUCUAUCAGUUAACAACCACUUGGCAAUUAUAGUGUAUUAUACCAGUUACAAACCGGUGUACUUGUUAAUAACCAGUGUACAUGUUAACAACCAGUGUACAUGUUAACAACCAGUGUACAUGUUAACAACCGGAGUACAUGUUAACAACCAGUGUACAUGCUAACAACCAGUGUACAUGUUAACAACCAGUGUACAUGUUAACAACCGGUGUACAUGUUAACAACCAGUGUACAUGAUAACAACCAGUGUACAUGUUAACAACCGGAGUACAUGUUAACAACCAGUGUACAUGUUAACAACCGGAGUACAUGUUAACAACCGGUGUACAUGUUAACAACCAGUGUACAUGUUAACAACCGGAGUACAUGUUAACAACCGGUGUACAUGUUAACAACCAGUGUACAUGUUAACAACCGGAGUACAUGUUAACAACCGGUGGACAUGUUAACAACCGGUGGACAUGUUAACAACCAGUGUACAUGUUAACAACCAGUGUACAUGUUAACAACCAGUGUACAUGUUAACAACCGGAGUACAUGUUAACAACCGGAGUACAUGUUAACAACCGGAGUACAUGUUAACAACCGGAGUACAUGUUAAC